Molecule: long non-coding RNA, 522 nt
Organism: Prionailurus viverrinus (fishing cat)
Lineage: Eukaryota; Metazoa; Chordata; Mammalia; Carnivora; Felidae
Exons: 3
Source: RefSeq, a predicted model, not a curated record
UCCGUCGGUGGCCAUCAGCCCUCGCACUGAUGGCCAGGUGGUUCCUCGGAAAGGAGGAAUUAGAAAUACAUGAAAUUAGAGUCAGAAAAACCUAAGUUAACCUUAAAAUAAAGCUGCCAGUUAUUACCAACAAAAGAUAGGUUUGGGGAAUAAAAGAGAGUUGUAAUCCAGGACGAACAAACUGCCGUAGGCAGUCGAGGAACAAAGGAGAGGUACCCAGUUUUACGGAGAAAAGGGACUACUACCCACAAGACCCACGAGUGUAUGCUUUCAGCCCAGCAUGCAUUCCUUUGUGCUCAGCUAGGUACAAAAUGUCUUUCUCCCCACGUGGCCCACGAUCCAGCUUCCUGUCCCAACUUCAGCCAUCCAGACCUUCUAUGGAUCCCAGCGCAGCAGUGAUGCCCCUUCAAGCUCUCCCUCCAUGGCCUGCAUCGGAAGCUGGAAUCCACAUCAGAGAUAAAAGGCCAGAAUUUCUCUGGAUGUUUGAGGAAAAUUGUCUUGAUGACAUGUUUUUUUUUUUAA